Molecule: transfer RNA, 75 nt
Filed under: Verrucomicrobiales bacterium
Lineage: Bacteria; Pseudomonadati; Verrucomicrobiota; Verrucomicrobiia; Verrucomicrobiales
Also listed under: 2 other names
Description: tRNA-Met
Rfam family: tRNA
About the family: Transfer RNA (tRNA) molecules are approximately 80 nucleotides in length. Their secondary structure includes four short double-helical elements and three loops (D, anti-codon, and T loops). Further hydrogen bonds mediate the characteristic L-shaped molecular structure. tRNAs have two regions of fundamental functional importance: the anti-codon, which is responsible for specific mRNA codon recognition, and the 3' end, to which the tRNAs corresponding amino acid is attached (by aminoacyl-tRNA synthetases). tRNAs cope with the degeneracy of the genetic code in two manners: having more than one tRNA (with a specific anti-codon) for a particular amino acid; and 'wobble' base-pairing, i.e. permitting non-standard base-pairing at the 3rd anti-codon position.
Source: RNAcentral
GCCAGAGUAGCUCAGCGGUAGAGCAGGGGACUCAUAAGCCCUUGGUCGGCGGUUCAAAUCCGUCCUCUGGCACCA